UACGUAGGGUGCAAGCGUUAUCCGGAAUUAUUGGGCGUAAAGAGCUCGUAGGCGGUUUGUCGCGUCUGCUGUGAAAACUGGAGGCUCAACCUCCAGCCUGCAGUGGGUACGGGCAGACUAGAGUGCGGUAGGGGAGAUUGGAAUUCCUGGUGUAGCGGUGGAAUGCGCAGAUAUCAGGAGGAACACCGAUGGCGAAGGCAGAUCUCUGGGCCGUAACUGACGCUGAGGAGCGAAAGCGUGGGUAGCAAACAGG
Molecule: ribosomal RNA, 253 nt
Filed under: uncultured bacterium
Lineage: Bacteria
Description: partial 16S ribosomal RNA
Rfam family: Bacterial small subunit ribosomal RNA
Source: RNAcentral